RNAcentral lists this long non-coding RNA (638 nucleotides) under Parus major (Great Tit). RNAcentral's name for it is "lncRNA (ENSPMJG00000003099.1)". Lineage: Eukaryota; Metazoa; Chordata; Aves; Passeriformes; Paridae. The record is from RNAcentral.
CUCCGCCCUCGCCCCGCCCCGCGCGCGCGGCGGCCGCUUCCGGUGCGGUAAUGGCGGCGGUGGUGCCGCGACUCCGGUGGUGGUCGAGCUCAGAUCUCGUCCUUCGCUCACCAGUCGCCCGACGGCAAGUAACAUCUGAAGCUGUAAAUUUUCUGCUUCUUUGGAUACCACAUUCUAGGAAAACAAGAUGAAAAACUUGAAUUGUUGAUAAUAAGUUGUGUGGAAGGCUUGCUAGGCCUGAAAGCUGGUCAAGGGCACACCAAUCUCACAGGCCAAAUGCGGAUCAGUGGAAAAGAGAUUUCUGUUUGCUGCAUAACAGCAAGAGGAUCAAGAAAAAUAAAGGUUAAAAUGGUGUCAUGGUGUCUUCUAUACCUUUCCUGGCCAAUUCCUCUAUUUAAUGAUAAAUGUAUACAGAGGUCCACACACAGAAGAAUUAACAGGAGCUUAACCUCCUACUUCGGAGCCUAACUUCUGUCAGUUAUAGUUUUUAAUUUGAAGUAUGUGCUACUCUGUGCUGCUUUGUCAAAGUAUGGUCUUUUGAGAGAUUUUGUUAAGUCCCUGUCAUAAAUGUUUCAUGAGUGUCAGCACCAAGCAUCAGCUAUAAUAAAAAUGUGUAUUUUUUCUGUACUUUUAUAUUC